UGAGAGUAGCAGAUACAAGAGCAAGCGUGAUGUGCCAGUGAAGUUGAACAAAGCGUGGUGGUGACCUCCCUUGAAGCCAUGCAAAAAGAGCAACAAUCACGCACAAUCAGCGAAUGGGCUCCACUAUGUUCAUCUCAUCCCUCGCUUGG
Molecule: non-coding RNA, 149 nt
Organism: Caenorhabditis elegans
Lineage: Eukaryota; Metazoa; Nematoda; Chromadorea; Rhabditida; Rhabditidae
Source: Ensembl